This 254-nucleotide ribosomal RNA is filed under the name uncultured bacterium. RNAcentral's name for it is "partial small subunit ribosomal RNA". It matches the Rfam family "Bacterial small subunit ribosomal RNA", at positions 26 to 285 of the family's 1533-position model. The record is from RNAcentral.
AGGACGAACGCUGGCGGCGUGCUUAACACAUGCAAGUCGAGCGGAAAGGCCCUUCGGGGUACUCGAGCGGCGAACGGGUGAGUAACACGUGGGCAACCUGCCCUUAGCUCUGGGAUAGCUCCGGGAAACCGGAAUUAAUACCGGAUAUGACCUAGGCCGACAUCGGCCGUGGUGGAAAGUUUUUCGGCUAGGGAUGGACUCGCGGCCGAUUAGUUAGUUGGCGGGGUAAUGGCCCACCAAGACGAUGAUCGGUA